Molecule: ribosomal RNA, 460 nt
Filed under: marine sediment bacterium BB0608_2216_7.1_19G0
Lineage: Bacteria
Description: bacterial SSU rRNA
Rfam family: Bacterial small subunit ribosomal RNA
Source: RNAcentral
GUUAGUGGCGCACGGGUGCGUAACGCGUGGGAACCUGCCUUUAGGUUCGGAAUAACUCAGAGAAAUUUGAGCUAAUACCGGAUAAUGUCUUCGGACCAAAGAUUUAUCGCCUUUAGAUGGGCCCGCGUUAGAUUAGAUAGUUGGUGGGGUAACGGCCUACCAAGUCGACGAUCUAUAGCUGGUCUGAGAGGAUGAUCAGCCACACUGGGACUGAGACACGGCCCAGACUCCUACGGGAGGCAGCAGUGGGGAAUAUUGGACAAUGGGCGAAAGCCUGAUCCAGCAAUGCCGCGUGAGUGAUGAAGGCCUUAGGGUUGUAAAGCUCUUUUACCAGGGAUGAUAAUGACAGUACCUGGAGAAUAAGCUCCGGCUAACUCCGUGCCAGCAGCCGCGGUAAUACGGAGGGAGCUAGCGUUGUUCGGAAUUACUGGGCGUAAAGCGCGCGUAGGCGGUCUAUUAA